RNAcentral lists this ribosomal RNA (381 nucleotides) under uncultured soil bacterium. RNAcentral describes it as "bacterial SSU rRNA". It matches the Rfam family "Bacterial small subunit ribosomal RNA", at positions 26 to 420 of the family's 1533-position model. The record is from RNAcentral.
AGAUUGAACGCUGGCGGCAUGGCUAAAACAUGCAAGUCGAACGCGAAAGGGAGCAAUCCCAAGUAGAGUGGCGAAAGGGUGAGUAAUACGUUUCUACGUGCCUUGAGGUCGAGGAUAGCCAAGGGAAACUUUGGGUAAUACUCGAUGUGGUCGCAAGAUCAAAGAUUUAUCGCCUUAAGAGCGGGGAACGUCCUAUCAGGUAGUUGGUGAGGUAAUGGCUCACCAAGCCUUAGACGGGUAGCAGGUGUGAGAGCACGGCCUGCCACAUCGGGACUGAGACACUGCCCGGACUUCUACGGAAGGCUGCAGUAACGAAUCUUCCGACAAUGACGACGAAAGCGUGACGGAGCAAUGCUGGCGUGACGAGGAUGAACGCCCCGU